GAUGUCUUUCCGGUUGCUGUCGCCUCUGGCGACUGUGAGGCUAAUUAGUCGUCUGGUGUGUGGUAUGAUAAAAAAAAUGGAGGUAAUCACUCAUCCAACACCUCGAACUGUCGAAGAGGUCUUUACUGACUUCAGAGGUCGCUAGCUGGUCUUAUCAAGGCUCUCACCACCAAUAUGGUGAAGUUUUACCAAACACGCAAUCCUGCAGUUAUAGCUUCAUCUUCUUAAAGUCUUCCUUCAAUCCAUCAACCACGAUCUACAAUUGAUGUGAGAUUUGCUCUUGCAAGACUGUGGGAUCUCCAGUAUAAAAAGUCCGGUAGAUGUUCGGGAGGCGAGGAAUAUUAGGCGCGGUGAAGAACUCAUGUCUGUCGACAUGCUAGCUGUUGCUUGAUUCGAAGGUGACCAAUGCCGGCCACCGUGACUGCUAGCCGGGUUCCAACCUCCGGGAUUCAUCUCAGGGCGGGGUUGAUGUAUUCUAUCACCGACUUUGAUGUGGCUCUGUGUAAUCCAAACUUCAGGUUCUCUGACUCCUCUCUUUCAAUCCGGUUCAGUGAUGCAGCCUCCUCUCCUUGAAUUUGUUAACUGAACUGAGUUCUCCACUGCCCGAAGAAUGUUUCCGGUUUGAGACAUCAUUGGGGAGAUCACCGUGGUGAAAACUACUGUCAGUGACCCACAGGAAGCAAAAAAACACUUGAUGGCGACCAUCAAAGUGGACAACGACGUGUCUGUGACUCUGAGUUUGUUCGACUCCCCCCAAGCUGUUUCGUUACACAGCAGACUGGAAGCUAUGCGUGUUGAUCCAAGGGUUAUUGCUACAAGCUUGAAUCCGAAGAUGGUUGGAGGCCGUUUGUUUUUUUUGUUGAACUUCAUGAACGCACAUUUAUUUCCAUAAGGAGACUAAUGUGGGGGACAUCUGCUUUUACAAGUUGGUCCCCACAAACACUGGGCUUCCAUCAGCAGCUUCACUUCUGAGAGGACGUGCCAAGGUUGAGUAUAUGACCAUAUCUGAGCUUAAGGAGUUUGUUAUAACUGCUCCAUCUCUGGAUAUUGACUUCUUAUGGAAAAAUGGUGGUGUUAUGUUGUUUGCUCUAAGUGCACCAAAAAGCUUCAACGCACCGUCUCCGCACUGCGAAAAUACACAUGCUGUUGGUGCCCUCCAGUAUGUAACAUAUUGUUGAACUGGGGGUAGCAGUCAGGCAGCACCGGAUGUGGGGGCAGCUCCAGAUGGUGACGAAUCAAAGAUGGCUUCCGCUGAAGCAAGCAUCCAAGGUGGUCAAGAAUAAUGCUUUGCCAUCGAUGAGGUUUCUUUUUUAACAAUUUAGAAGUGGUGUCUGUUUCUGGUUUGUUUAACUUCCUAAACAAUCUGCAUUUUCUGAAAUUUCUUUUACAUUGUGUUUGGCUUGAAUGUUCGUAGUUUGUACGCUUGGUUUAAGUUAAUGCAACCCUUCAAUGUUUGCUCAAA
RNA transcript from Raphanus sativus (radish), 1462 nucleotides. RefSeq lists it as uncharacterized. The transcript is spliced from 11 exons. The record is from RefSeq and is a predicted model, not a curated record. NCBI's taxonomy places the organism in Eukaryota, Viridiplantae, Streptophyta, Magnoliopsida, Brassicales, Brassicaceae.